ACCAAUGGCUGUCCAGGCUUGGUUCCAUAUCUCGCCCAAUAGGGAGGCCGGAUAUGUUCCAUAAGAGAGAAUCAAACUUUUGGGGCUUUUGGCGUCCAAUCGGUGAGGCGGAUUUGUUCCAUAAUUCUCAGCAAUCUCUCCUCCGUCCGCCAUUGUUUUUUCACACUGACUGACUUCAACCAAGCGACACUGAGGAGAUGCAGGGUCCUGAUGGCCAGCCAGGAUACCAGCAUGUCCUGAAGCUGGCCAAGGCCCUGCUGGAAGCCAGGAGCCUUCAGGGGCUUUCUGACAAGAGGGUGGACGAACUCAUGGCCCUCUGGCAACGCCUGCCCGAGCCGUCUACCCUCCCAGACACCGGGAGAGGCAGCUGAAGGGGCGGUUCAAGACAGCGAAGGGGAAGAACACCUCCUGUCCUGGGAAUGAUAGCACUUUUUUAUUUAAUUGUCUUUUAUCUUUAUUUAUUUGAAUCUAUUUUUAAAAUAAAACUCUGAACUGAA
Trematomus bernacchii (emerald rockcod) is the source of this 497-nucleotide long non-coding RNA. RefSeq lists it as uncharacterized. Lineage: Eukaryota; Metazoa; Chordata; Actinopteri; Perciformes; Nototheniidae. The transcript has 2 exons. The record is from RefSeq and is a predicted model, not a curated record.